RNAcentral lists this ribosomal RNA (274 nucleotides) under uncultured bacterium. RNAcentral describes it as "partial 16S ribosomal RNA". It matches the Rfam family "Bacterial small subunit ribosomal RNA", at positions 523 to 796 of the family's 1533-position model. The record is from RNAcentral.
AUACGGAGGGUGCAAGCGUUAUGCGGAAUCACUGGGCGUAAAGGACGCGUAGGCGGGUUGGCAAGUCAGAUGUGAAAUCCUACAGCUUAACUGUAGAACUGCAUUUGAAACUGCUAACCUAGAGUAUGGGAGGGGGAGAUGGAAUUAGUGGUGUAGGGGUAAAAUCAGUAGAUAUCACUAGGAAUACCGAAAGCGAAGGCGAUCUCCUGGAACAUAACUGACGCUAAGGCGUGAAAGCGUGGGGAGCAAACAGGAUUAGAAACCCUAGUAGUCC